Molecule: ribosomal RNA, 399 nt
Filed under: uncultured bacterium
Lineage: Bacteria
Description: partial 16S ribosomal RNA
Rfam family: Bacterial small subunit ribosomal RNA
Source: RNAcentral
AAUAUUGCGCAAUGGGGGAAACCCUGACGCAGCGACGCCGCGUGAGUGAUGAAGGCCUUCGGGUUGUAAAACUCUGUCCUCAGGGAAGAAACAAAUGACGGUACCUGAGGAGGAAGCCCCGGCUAACUACGUGCCAGCAGCCGCGGUAAUACGUAGGGGGCGAGCGUUGUCCGGAAUUAUUGGGCGUAAAGGGUGCGUAGGCGGCCCUUUAAGUCAGAUGUGAAAGCCCACGGCUUAACCGUGGGACUGCAUUUGAAACUGGAGGGCUUGAGUGUCGGAGAGGGCAGUGGAAUUCCCAGUGUAGCGGUGGAAUGCGUAGAUAUUGGGAGGAACACCAGUGGCGAAGGCGACUGCCUGGACGAUAACUGACGCUGAGGCACGAAAGCUAGGGGAGCAAAC